AAGACUAUACUUUCAGGGAUCAUUUCUACAGUAUGUUACUAGAUACAGUCCUCAGUGUUUCUUAAAAAGGGACCAGGCAGUGGCACACCUGGU
This 93-nucleotide small nucleolar RNA is filed under the name Erinaceus europaeus (western European hedgehog). RNAcentral describes it as "Small nucleolar RNA U3". The stretch from base 1 to 41 matches the Rfam family "Small nucleolar RNA U3", at positions 1 to 41 of the family's 219-position model. Lineage: Eukaryota; Metazoa; Chordata; Mammalia; Eulipotyphla; Erinaceidae. The record is from Rfam by way of RNAcentral.